GUUUUUUUGCCCAGAUGACAGGCUAGAUGCAGGGCUUACUAAUAUAAUUAUCAAAAGUGGUCCUUUGACAGGUCUUGGGAGAAAGUUUGAAGUCAAGUGCCAGAUUUCUCAGUGGAGCAGCGUCUGUGGCCCCAACCAGCCACGUACUGAGGAGCACAUGGCCACGUGCCGAGACUUCUGCUCAUAGUAUCUCCUUGUAGACAUGGCCUCCAUCAAACAUCAUGGCAGGAGAGCAAUGACCCUGUUUACCUCAAGGCUGGUGCACUUUUGGAAAGUGAAAUAUAUAAGCACCUCUUUCUGAUCAACCGGGAGUUUGCUCCUGGACAAUGCACCAGGAGGAGGGAGGACAGGGC
This is a long non-coding RNA of Aquila chrysaetos chrysaetos, 353 nucleotides long. RefSeq lists it as uncharacterized. The record is from RefSeq and is a predicted model, not a curated record. The transcript has 3 exons. Lineage: Eukaryota; Metazoa; Chordata; Aves; Accipitriformes; Accipitridae.